Long non-coding RNA from Corvus hawaiiensis (hawaiian crow), 290 nucleotides. RefSeq lists it as uncharacterized. The transcript is spliced from 3 exons. The record is from RefSeq and is a predicted model, not a curated record. Lineage: Eukaryota; Metazoa; Chordata; Aves; Passeriformes; Corvidae.
UGCAAACACUGGAUCACAGAUUUCUAAAACAAUACGAUUAUUCCUGAGUCUCAGCAACUUGAAGAUAUGAGAAGAACUCAGUGAGGAGAAGAAAAAAAGGGAGCUCAGGAAAUAAGAGCCGGUAGCUGACCUAGAGAACUCGGCUAUUAUGGGAGCCGUGGGACUUACCUUUCCUCAGCAACAGAAGUACUCUUCUAAGUUCAUGUACAUGGACCAAAAGCUACCUGGAAGGAGCAAAAGCUGACAGGAAUUUCAUGUAACAGACAAAAUACAUUUCUGUUGCCCUAAAG